GACGAACGCUGGCGGCGUGCUUAACACAUGCAAGUCGAACGGAAAGGCCCCGCUCUUGUGGGGUUCUUGAGUGGCGAACGGGUGAGUAACACGCGAGUAUCCUGCCCUUGACUUUGGGAUAACUUCAGGAAACUGGGGCUAAUACCGGAUAGGAGCUCCUGCUGCAUGUUGUUGGUUGGAAAGUGUCGGCGGUGGGGGAUGGACUCGCGGCUUAUCAGCUUGUUGGUGUGGUAGUGGCUUACCAAGGCUGUGACGGGUAGCCGGCAUGAGAGAGUGACCGGCCACAUGGGGACUGAGAUACGGACCAGACUCGUACGGGAGGCAGCAGUGGGGAAUAUUGCACAAUGGGCGGAAGCCUGAUGCAGCAACGCCGCGUGCGGGAUGACGGCCUUCGGGUUGUAAACCGCUUUCGCCUGUGACGAAGCGUGAGUGACGGUAAUGGGUAAAGAAGCACCGGCUAACUACGUG
This 468-nucleotide ribosomal RNA is filed under the name uncultured bacterium. RNAcentral describes it as "partial 16S ribosomal RNA". It matches the Rfam family "Bacterial small subunit ribosomal RNA", at positions 28 to 507 of the family's 1533-position model. The record is from RNAcentral.